Molecule: ribosomal RNA, 471 nt
Filed under: uncultured Anaerolineaceae bacterium
Lineage: Bacteria; Bacillati; Chloroflexota; Anaerolineae; Anaerolineales; Anaerolineaceae
Description: bacterial SSU rRNA
Rfam family: Bacterial small subunit ribosomal RNA
Source: RNAcentral
AAACUUAAAGGAAUUGACGGGGACCCGCACAAGCAGCGGAGCGUGUGGUUUAAUUCGUUGCUACACGAAGAACUUACCUGGGUUUGACAUAUAGGUUGUAGGGAACUGAAAAGGGACCGACCCUUCGGGGAGCCUAUACAGGUGUUGCAUGGCUGUCGUCAGCUCGUGUCGUGAGAUGUUCGGUUAAGUCCGCUAACGAGCGCAACCCUCGUCGUAUGUUAUAUGUGUCAUACGAGACUGCCGGUAAAAAGCCGGAGGAAGGUGAGGAUGAUGUCAAGUCAGCAUGACCUUUAUAUCCAGGGCUACACACACGCUACAAUGGUCUGUACAAUGGGUAGCCAAGCCGCGAGGCGGAGCCAAUCCUGAAAGCAGGCCUCAGUUCAGAUUGCAGUCUGCAACUCGACUGCAUGAAGCCGGAGUUGCUAGUAACCGCAGGUCAGCAAUACUGCGGUGAAUACGUUCCCGGGUCUU